RNAcentral lists this unclassified non-coding RNA (376 nucleotides) under uncultured Bryobacterales bacterium. RNAcentral describes it as "contains 16S-23S intergenic spacer region". Lineage: Bacteria; Pseudomonadati; Acidobacteriota; Terriglobia; Bryobacterales. The record is from RNAcentral.
UCCAACUUAUCGCUGGCGGUCUCCUGCGAGUUCCCAACUAAAUGAUGGCAACACAGGACAAGGGUUGCGCUCGUUGCGGGACUUAACCCAACAUCUCACGACACGAGCUGACGACAGCCAUGCAGCACCUAUACUACGGCCUUUUAAGGGGAGAUCUGCUUUCACAGACUGUCCGUAGCACUUCGAGCCCAGGUAAGGUUCUUCGCGUUGCGUCGAAUUGAACCACAUGCUCCACCGCUUGUGCGGGCCCCCGUCAAUUCCUUUGAGUUUCAGCCUUGCGACUGUACUCCCCAGGCGGCAUAUUUAACGCGUUAGCUCCGGCACAGACAGAAUGAACUGCCUACACCAAAUAUGCAUCGUUUAGGGCGUGGACUAC